UAGAUCCGUCAACUGGAUCUUAGAUCCCAUGGUUCCUAAGCUCACAUAAUGUAACAUGAAUAGCAUGCAUAAUAAAUAAAGUAUAUACUUAAUCUAAACGUUGCAAAACAAAAGAUUCAUCAGUUAAAUCCUUGCAUGUAUGUAGCCAAGCUUCCCGUUUCCUUUAAAUACAGAUCUAGGGACGCGUGAUUGCUUAAUAUUUACAAAAAACUAGAAAGAAAACUAGAUUUAAAUAAAUAUUAGCC
RNAcentral lists this long non-coding RNA (245 nucleotides) under Panax ginseng (ginseng). Its description in RNAcentral is "long non-coding RNA (PGIN_LNC000269)". Lineage: Eukaryota; Viridiplantae; Streptophyta; Magnoliopsida; Apiales; Araliaceae. The record is from RNAcentral.